UACGUAGGUGGCGAGCGUUAUCCGGAAUUCUUGGGCGUAAAGGGUGCGCAGGCGGUUGUAAAAGAUUGUGGUUAAAGAAUGGGGCUCAACUCCCUAAUGCCAUGAUAACUAUACGACUAGAGUACAGAAGAGGAAAGUGGAAUUCCAUGUGUAGCGGUGAAAUGCGUAGAUAUAUGGAGGAACACCAGUGGCGAAGGCGGCUUUCUGGGCUGUAACUGACGCUGAGGCACGAAAGCGUGGGGAGCAAAUAGG
This 252-nucleotide ribosomal RNA is filed under the name uncultured bacterium. RNAcentral's name for it is "partial 16S ribosomal RNA". It matches the Rfam family "Bacterial small subunit ribosomal RNA", at positions 524 to 776 of the family's 1533-position model. The record is from RNAcentral.